This 1028-nucleotide ribosomal RNA is filed under the name uncultured bacterium. RNAcentral's name for it is "bacterial SSU rRNA". It matches the Rfam family "Bacterial small subunit ribosomal RNA", at positions 452 to 1480 of the family's 1533-position model. The record is from RNAcentral.
GUAGUAACUGCCCUUUAUUGACGGUAAUCAACCAGAAAGUCACGGCUAACUACGUGCCAGCAGCCGCGGUAAUACGUAGGUGGCAAGCGUGUCCGGGAUUUAUUGGGCGUAAGGCGAGCGCAGGCGGAUUGAUAAGUCUGAUGUGAAAGCCUUCGGCCCAACCGAAGAACUGCAUCAGAAACUGUCAAUCUUGAGUGCGGAAGAGGAGAGUGGAACUCCAUGUGUAGCGGUGGAAUGCGUAGAUAUAUGGAAGAACACCAGUGGCGAAGGCGGCUCUCUGGUCUGUAACUGACGCUGAGGCUCGAAAGCAUGGGUAGCGAACAGGAUUAGAUACCCUGGUAGUCCAUGCCGUAAACGAUGAGUGCUAAGUGUUGGGAGGUUUCCGCCUCUCAGUGCUGCAGCUAACGCAUUAAGCACUCCGCCUGGGGAGUACGACCGCAAGGUUGAAACUCAAAGGAAUUGACGGGGGCCCGCACAAGCGGUGGAGCAUGUGGUUUAAUUCGAAGCAACGCGAAGAACCUUACCAGGUCUUGACAUCCUUUGACCACCUAAGAGAUUAGGUUUUCCCUUCGGGGACAAAGAGACAGGUGGUGCAUGGCUGUCGUCAGCUCGUGUCGUGAGAUGUUGGGUUAAGUCCCGCAACGAGCGCAACCCUUGUUAAUAGUUGCCAGCAUUAAGUUGGGCACUCUAAUGAGACUGCCGGUGACAAACCGGAGGAAGGUGGGGAUGACGUCAAGUCAUCAUGCCCCUUAUGACCUGGGCUACACACGUGCUACAAUGGACGGUACAACGAGAAGCGACCCUGUGAAGGCAAGCGGAUCUCUGAAAGCCGUUCUCAGUUCGGAUUGCAGGCUGCAACUCGCCUGCAUGAAGCUGGAAUCGCUAGUAAUCGCAAAUCAGCACGUUGCGGUGAAUACGUUCCCGGGUCUUGUACACACCGCCCGUCACACCAUGAGAGUCUGUAACGCCCGAAGCCGGCGGGAUAACCGAAAGGAGUCAGCCGUCUAAGGCGGGACAGAUGAUUAGGG